AAGUCGUAACAAGGUUUCCGUAGGUGAACCUGCGGAAGGAUCAUUAACACGUAUCCAACGUUAAACCCCCUGUGAACCUUCAUUGUGCUCCCACGCUUUGUUAGAAAGUAGCAAUCCCUGGUAAAUCAUCGCCGAACAGUUUUGAUUCAGGGACUUCUGCGAAGAGGGUGAUGUAGCGCGAGGCAAUGGACCGGGCAUUCCUCUGCUUGUUGGUGUCUGAAAUUGUCACUAACUCUGUACGAAUGGCGCAUAGUCACGUUCGCUAGAGGCCGAUACGGCCGGCGACCGGGUCAGUGAGCUCUGCUCCCGCUGUUACGUCAAAACCCCAAGUUCCCCUCUAGUGAAAGCUAUUGGGUUAUAACUAAACGACUGUUAACAAUGGAUAUCUCGAUUCUC
Molecule: unclassified non-coding RNA, 396 nt
Filed under: fungal sp.
Lineage: Eukaryota; Fungi
Description: partial internal transcribed spacer region
Rfam family: Eukaryotic small subunit ribosomal RNA (bases 1-46)
Source: RNAcentral